RNAcentral lists this ribosomal RNA (253 nucleotides) under uncultured bacterium. RNAcentral describes it as "partial 16S ribosomal RNA". It matches the Rfam family "Bacterial small subunit ribosomal RNA", at positions 524 to 776 of the family's 1533-position model. The record is from RNAcentral.
UACGUAGGGCGCAAGCGUUGUCCGGAAUUAUUGGGCGUAAAGAGCGCGUAGGCGGCUUGUCACGUCGGGUGUGAAAGCCCGGGGCUUAACCCCGGGUCUGCAUUCGAUACGGGCUAGCUAGAGUGUGGUAGGGGAGAUCGGAAUUCCUGGUGUAGCGGUGAAAUGCGCAGAUAUCAGGAGGAACACCAGUGGCGAAGGCGGAUCUCUGGGCCAUUACUGACGCUGAGGAGCGAAAGCGUGGGGAGCGAACAGG